This 421-nucleotide ribosomal RNA is filed under the name uncultured bacterium. RNAcentral's name for it is "bacterial SSU rRNA". It matches the Rfam family "Bacterial small subunit ribosomal RNA", at positions 356 to 774 of the family's 1533-position model. The record is from RNAcentral.
GAGGAAUAUUGGUCAAUGGGGGCAACCCUGAACCAGCCAAGUCGCGUGAAGGAUGAAGGUCUUAUGGAUUGUAAACUUCUUUUACACGGGAAUAAAGCGGGGGACGUGUCCCUCUUUGCAUGUACCGUGUGAAUAAGGAUCGGCUAACUCCGUGCCAGCAGCCGCGGUAAUACGGAGGAUCCGAGCGUUAUCCGGAUUUAUUGGGUUUAAAGGGUGCGCAGGCGGGAUGUUAAGUCGGCGGUGAAAUUUUGCAGCUCAACUGUAAAAGUGCCUUCGAUACUGGCCUUCUUGAGUGUGGAUGAAGUAGGCGGAAUUUGUGGUGUAGCGGUGAAAUGCUUAGAUAUCACGAGGAACUCCGAUUGCGCAGGCAGCUUACUAAGCCACAACUGACGCUCAUGCACGAAGGCGUGGGGAUCAAACA